UGAAUAGCUGUCCACUGUAGUGACCACUAUGCAUGAAAGGGUUAAAUAAAAAUAAAACCACGUGGAAGAAUUCCCACCAGCAUGUUAUAAAAUAUUUAUUUCAAUCUAAUGUAUUAUUUCUAUGGAAAAAUCGACAUUUUAUUGGUCAGUAGAAUUUUAUUCUUGUUGCUAUUUUUGCCUGCGCUGUGAUUGACUGUUGGAAGCGAGUGAUUCCAAACAACUUCCAAAAAUGAGCAAUGCUCAUUUAUUUGCAUUUUGUGUGGUAAUGCAGUAGCACAAUCAGCAGGAUCACAUAAACAUUCUCACAGGAUUUAGCAAAGUGUUCCACAAAUUUUUCAUGUGUACAGCCUUAAAGUCCAUCACCUAUUUUACUUGUAAUCCAGUGGAAACAGUAGCAAUCCGUUGUUUUUGUCUGUAUUUUCCUGAAGUCUCCAGAUCUAAAUUUGCCAAAUGAUCAUGGAGCAGAUGCCACACGGUUAACGGCUGAACCCGAGGAAGCAUGCGGAACAGAGCGUUCUCCUCCUGCACCUCCAUUAAACCCAGAAGUCAGUGAGCCUCCACAGAGGUCCAUGAAUGGUGGCACAGGAGGAAGCAGCUACAGCACGGUAAGUAAGCCUUCCCUCUGUUCCAUUACUGUAAAAUGCACUAUUGUUUUAUAUUUGAGAGGCACAACUGAAGGUUAGGUGUGAUUGUUAUGUCUUUUAUGGUUUUUGAAGUGACUUGUGAGAAAUGUGUAUUUAUGUUAGGCUGCCAGUGUAAGAUAAAGUGUGACUGCUUCGUUUGACUUUAGGCCACGAUUAAAAGUAUCUAAAUGUGAUUUGUGCUAAUGUUUUAGUAGCAGUUUUAAGAUUGUUGCACUUCAUAUGAUUGUUUCAUUGUAUAUUACUUCUAGCCCCUGCUUUAAGGGGGAAAUAAUAAUAUUUUUUUACCCUUUAACUAAACUCUAGUUGCCCUAAAAAUAAGUAACAGCGUGCUUUUAUCUCCUAAUGGAACAUGUGGAAGCAGGACACAAACAUUUAAUGAACUUGAAAAACCCUGUGCUAUAAAGGUAUGGUAUCAUGUUAUGAUGCAUUGUGCAUCUAAUCUAAUAUCCCAUUUAGGUCUAAGUUGAACCAUUAAAACAUACAAAUAUAUUUUUAUAAAAUAUUUGUGUCUGCCAUCUAGAUGUUUGCAGUCAGAGUAGCGAGAGCAGUGUUUAAGCAAAGAUUUAUCAAGUUUGGUCCACUCGUCUAGGAGGAGAUAAGGAACAUACAAACAUGCAAAAAUAGAUACAUAUGCUAGGAUUAUGACUGCCUUUAUUUUCUAUUAAAGUGAACACUUAUCUGCUUAAAGUUACAUAUGUAUGUAAUGAGUAGGGCAGCUCUGGCAGAUGAUAGGAAAUUAUACAAAUGGGUGGCUUUAAAUAGGCCCAAAUGACUAGACGGCACAUACAGAUGUUGGAAAAAUGUAUUUUUCACAGGACUCUAUGCAGACCUGCAAAAAUUUAAGUGUUGCUUCCAGAGGGUUUAAGCAGGUAAGUCACAGCCAGGUGCUGAUAAUCAAAUGACCUUGACUAAUCGAUCAUCAGCAAGUGUGAGCAUCUCUGGAAAAGUGGAGGCUUUGGCAGUUUGCUGGUCUUGAGCAUUCAGGUGUGUGUUAACAAAAUGCUGCGAUCUUCCAGUUAGUGGAGGUUCCAGUAAAUUUACCCCAAGAGAGUGGCUGAAAAAGAAAAGGUGUUGCAACCUGAUGGAAAUGCUGUGGCAAGGUCUCAGCAGAGCUGUGCAUAAUGCAAAAUGCCCAUAAACCUCAAUGAACUGAAGCAACACUUCAAGAUAAGUGAGCCAUAUU
Molecule: long non-coding RNA, 1827 nt
Filed under: Oreochromis niloticus (Nile tilapia)
Lineage: Eukaryota; Metazoa; Chordata; Actinopteri; Cichliformes; Cichlidae
Description: lncRNA (ENSONIG00000033045.1)
Source: RNAcentral